Molecule: ribosomal RNA, 270 nt
Filed under: uncultured Planctomycetota bacterium
Lineage: Bacteria; Pseudomonadati; Planctomycetota
Description: uncultured planctomycete partial 16S ribosomal RNA
Rfam family: Bacterial small subunit ribosomal RNA
Source: RNAcentral
GAGCACGUAGGUGGGUUUAGUAAGCCAGAUGUGAAAGCCUCCUGUUCAACGGGAGAAUUGCAUCUAAAACUACUGAUCUUGAGUGUAGGAGGGGAGAAUGGAACUUCUGGUGGAGCGGUGAAAUGCGUAGAUAUCAGAAGGAACGCCGGCGGCGAAAGCGAUUCUCUGGCCUAUUACUGACACUCAGUGUGCGAAAGCUAGGGGAGCAAACGGGAUUAGAUACCCCGGUAGUCCUAGCCGUAAACGAUGGGCACUAAGUAGAGGGGUUUU